Molecule: long non-coding RNA, 288 nt
Filed under: Homo sapiens (human)
Lineage: Eukaryota; Metazoa; Chordata; Mammalia; Primates; Hominidae
Description: HSALNT0265984
Source: RNAcentral
GGAAUCCCAGAGAAGGAGAAGCCCCUGUCAACCUUUUAUUGGGAGUGGAACACAUGAGGUUCAGCUCGUGCCGGGCACUGUACAUUCACUGAAGCAGCUCAAGGGGCUCAGCCCCGACACUGACGCCACACUGAGCAGGAUGCACGGCCCGGGGCUCACACUGUCCAUGGAGGAGGUGGGGUCAGCCCGAGGUGGGCGGAUGGUGGCCCGAGACACCGAGAGCUUGGUUCUGGGACUGUGGCUCAGCUGACCCGUGGCACAGCUGCACCUAAGACAUGGCCCUGGCUA